Molecule: long non-coding RNA, 540 nt
Filed under: Arachis ipaensis
Lineage: Eukaryota; Viridiplantae; Streptophyta; Magnoliopsida; Fabales; Fabaceae
Description: long non-coding RNA (AIPA_LNC001699)
Source: RNAcentral
UGAGGCAGAGAUUCUAAAGACUUCUAUUUAUACUGGCAUAAACCAUCUAAAGCCCACUAAUAAUAGAUAAAAGUCAUUCUGCAACGGCUAUAUUCAAGCCAUAAGGGUUUAUGCCUUUAUACGAUGGCUAAGUUUUCCUAUGCUACAAUUUUUUCCCUUAUUCUUAUUAUUUAUGGUACAGUAUAUAUUUAAGCAUAUAUACAAAUGUUAACAAAGAUUUUAAAAAUGAAUUAUUAUUAUAACUAUUUUUUUUUUUUUUGUUUCGUUCCUUUGAUUUUUGUAGUUUCUACAGCAAGUGUGGAAGGAGCAUUAUGUUCGAAUGAUUUGUACCUUAAUCCUUGUCGUGAAUCAUUUUGCAAAUUCAUAUGUCUUAGUCGCUAUGAGGGUGGACGAGGACAUUGUGCGAAGAGAAAAUCUCAUGAAAUACCUUAUGAAGUAUGUGCAUGCGUUCAUGAGCAUGAUUGUCCCCAUUAGGCUUUAGGGAUCAUAUUUUUCUAAAAAAUAUAUAAAGUUGAGAAAUGCCUUCUUUUGCAAAAUAGA